UAAAAUUUUAAUUGAUAUCACGCCAAUUAAAUUUCAAUUGCUGUCUUUUUAUUAUUCCAGUUCCCAAUAGUGUAGAUCUCCUCCUUCUCUUCAUGUUUAUACGGAUGCUUUGGUUUUUCUGUGUUGAGAAGGAUUGGGUUAACUUUGGUGGCUGGUUGAUGGGUCGGUUUUGGGGCUGUCGUUUUGUUUUCGGAUUGAUUGGGAUGGAGGAGAGGUUGAGUGGGUUUUUCUGGCGGCUAACACUGGCGUGAAGGCUGCAGCUGUUUAAGAAGAUGGUUGUGGUGAGCGGUGCUGCUGUGGGUGUUUUAUAUGAGUAGUGGAUGCCAAGACAGAUGGAUGCCGUAGAAUCCCUUGUCUGCUUGUUACUUGUUACAGAUAAAAAGGGAAACUGUACAGUAUCUCUCUCUCUCUCUCUCUCAAUCUCUCUCACUCUGGUGUCAUCGUUACGUGAUGAAAAACCUUCUGUAUGUUUUUGUGCAGUGAAAGUUUUUUUAAAAAACGUUUGAA
Long non-coding RNA from Populus trichocarpa (black cottonwood), 507 nucleotides. RefSeq lists it as uncharacterized. Lineage: Eukaryota; Viridiplantae; Streptophyta; Magnoliopsida; Malpighiales; Salicaceae. The record is from RefSeq and is a predicted model, not a curated record. The transcript is spliced from 2 exons.